GAUUAGUUUGACGAAAGUAUUGCGUUCAAAGAGCAUAAAGAGUCUUUGUCGCGGUAUUAGUACGUCGAUAGUCGGCGCAUUUCUCGAGAGUAAGCAUCGCAACCGAUACGAAAGGCUAGCGAGGCGGUCGGAUUGAGGUCUAGCGUCUUUACGGACGCUAGUUGCCAGUCUGAUCGCGCUCAAGUCGCUAGAUCGCAGUAUGUAUCGAGCGCUUACCAAUACUAAAAUACGUCGACCAUAAAGGUUCGUCGAACGGCGGAUAGUCGGUUAGUUUAUAGUUGGUUACCUGCUCGCAGGUGCUAGCUUACUCGACCGGCUUAGAAGUCGUCGACGACUCGACGUAUAGGCGUUAGCGGUGUCAGCGUCGGUCACCCGUCCGACCCGUCUUGAAACACGGACCAAGGAGUCUAACAUAUGCGCGAGCCAAUAGGCGGAAAACCUAAAGGCGCAAUAAAAGUAAAGACCGUUCUACGAAUGGUUAAGGUACGAUCCUGGAUUUUUUAAACUGAAAUUCAGGCGCAGUACCGUCUCGUCUCUAAGGCACGUCCUAAGGGCGAAGACAGAGUGCAUACGUUGGGACCCGAAAGAUGGUGAACUAUGCCUGAGCAGAGCGAAGCCAGAGGAAACUCUGGUGGAGGUUCGUAGCGGUUCUGACGUGCAAAUCGAUCGUCAGACUUGGGUAUAGGGGCGAAAGACUAAUCGAA
RNAcentral lists this ribosomal RNA (704 nucleotides) under Enchodorus yeatsi. Its description in RNAcentral is "eukaryotic LSU rRNA". It matches the Rfam family "Eukaryotic large subunit ribosomal RNA", at positions 512 to 939 of the family's 3401-position model. The record is from RNAcentral. Lineage: Eukaryota; Metazoa; Nematoda; Enoplea; Dorylaimida; Nordiidae.